CGGAGGGUGCAAGCGUUAUCCGGAUUCACUGGGUUUAAAGGGUGUGUAGGCGGGUAUUUAAGUCAGUGGUGAAAUCUCCGAGCUCAACUCGGAAACUGCCAUUGAUACUAUUUAUCUUGAAUAUUGUUGAGGUAGGCGGAAUAUGUCAUGUAGCGGUGAAAUGCUUAGAUAUGACAUAGAACACCGAUUGCGAAGGCAGCUUGCUAGACAAUUAUUGACGCUGAGGCACGAAAGCGUGGGGAUCAAACAGGAUUAGAUACCCUGGUAGUCCACGCCCUAAACGAUGAUUACUGGACAUUUGCGAUAUACAGUGAGUGUCUGAGCGAAAGCAUUAAGUAAUCCACCUGGGAAGUACGUCCGCAAGGAUG
Molecule: ribosomal RNA, 368 nt
Filed under: uncultured organism
Description: bacterial SSU rRNA
Rfam family: Bacterial small subunit ribosomal RNA
Source: RNAcentral